CGUGUAGGCGGUUGGUUAAGUCGGAUGUGAAAGCCUGGGGCUCAGCCCCAGAAGUGCAUCCGAAACUAUCCAGCUAGAGCGCGAUAGAGGAGGGUGGAAUUCCUGGUGUAGCGGUGAAAUGCGUAGAUAUCAGGAGGAACACCGGCGGCGAAGGCGGCCCUCUGGAUCGUUGCUGACGCUGAGACGCGAAAGCGUGGGGAGCAAACAGGAUUAGAUACCCUGGUAGUCCACGCUUUAAACGAUGGGUACUAGGUGUUCGGGGUGUUGACCCCCUGAGUGCCGCAGUUAACGCAUUAAGUACCCCGCCUGGGGACUACGGCCGCAAGGUUAAA
RNAcentral lists this ribosomal RNA (332 nucleotides) under uncultured bacterium. RNAcentral's name for it is "bacterial SSU rRNA". It matches the Rfam family "Bacterial small subunit ribosomal RNA", at positions 568 to 898 of the family's 1533-position model. The record is from RNAcentral.